RNAcentral lists this transfer RNA (74 nucleotides) under subsurface metagenome. Its description in RNAcentral is "tRNA-Thr". It matches the Rfam family "tRNA". From Rfam's summary of the family: Transfer RNA (tRNA) molecules are approximately 80 nucleotides in length. Their secondary structure includes four short double-helical elements and three loops (D, anti-codon, and T loops). The record is from RNAcentral.
GCCAGCGUAGCUCAGGGGUAGAGCAACGGUUUCGUAAACCGUCGGUCGUCAGUUCGAAUCUGACCGCUGGCUCC